Malaya genurostris is the source of this 2212-nucleotide long non-coding RNA. RefSeq lists it as uncharacterized. The record is from RefSeq and is a predicted model, not a curated record. The transcript is spliced from 4 exons. NCBI's taxonomy places the organism in Eukaryota, Metazoa, Arthropoda, Insecta, Diptera, Culicidae.
GUUCGCACGUUUCGUAGCCUUGCUCAGACAUAAUUCAUAAACUUCGUAUUCAUGUUUCUACAUAAUCUUUGCCACAUUCGUUCAGGACCGAAACAAACGAACGAAGUAAUAACCAUUCAUAUUAAAUCGGACGCAGGAGGUAGGAAAGGACUUCGAACUCCGAACCACCGCAAGGAAGUGUUGUCAAAAUACAACCCGCAUGGCGUUUUGGUUACCUGGGUAACCACGGGCACGAGAAGACUACCAGUACCGUUUCAAUGACAAUAUCAAACAGCUGUCAAUCAAUGAAAUUCCCGAUGGACGACUUUGUUGUGAAGGUGUAAGUGUCGCUACAGCCAACCGUGGAAACCAUGGAAACGCAAAACAAAGUUGAAAAAUUAUUUCACCAGAAGUGAAUACAAGCUCGUGGAUUAUUUUCGUUCCUAUCCUUUCUCCUUUUGAUUGCCGAAAGAAUUAAUUGAUAUGAGUGACCAGACUGAACGCGUAUUUGGCCAUUUGAGAAGCCCAAUUGAAUUUGAUUUGUGUCAAAAUUCCUGGAUAUUAUAGCCAGUCAGGAAAAGCAGUUUUGUCUGUAAGAAAGUUGUUGUAUUUUUUAUAAUAUAUGUAAAUAUGUGAGAGUAACUUACAAUAUGUAGCUUCGAAAUUUGAAGUCUAUUCGCACUAUUCCGGGAAUAGUGCUUGGAAGCACUUUUUAGUAACUGUGGACGAUGGACGUGGACUGGUAUAGUUCCGAAUAAUAUGUUAGCAGUCCCCAAUGCACCACGAUCAAACGCCGCGAAAGAUAUGGCUGUUAUAGAUCUUUUGAAGAGUAAGUGUUUUUUGCGAGUCGUUCACAAAUACCUUAUUCCCAGACACAAUUGAUCUAAUUGGUCUCCACUGUGCUCUACCAGUCGAGUUUUUGUUACAAAUUUUACUUCAUAUCAAAACUAAAUAUUUUAUUUUUCUUCGCAGAAACAGUAAUCACCGAGUUUCCUCACCGAUUCAGUGAAUGACUGUAUUAAAAAAAUAUUUAAAAAUAUGAAUCAAGCCUUCUAGAAGAAGCAAACUCGAGCUGCAGAAAAUAUUUUUCUGGAAAAUAAGCACUCUAGUAAACAAUGAAUAGACGGAUUUAAAGAUUUGUAUUGAACAUCUUUCAAUUGAAUAUUGCUUUCAUCAUCAAACUUUGUUUGAAAAAUAUUUAAAAUGCAACAUUUUUACACUUUUACAAUGGUAUAAUCACAUUGAUUAAAGCUUAAUUCUUUCACUAUCUUUACGUUUCGUCUUAGACUCGUCGGUGCAGAGCAGUUCAAAUUAAACUGCUUACUGCAAACUCAAACAGUUCAAUUUGAACCGCUAAGCAGACGUAAAGUUAUUGCUAUUUGCAACACACUUGUAAAAGGUGAUUUUUUUGAGGUUAGGAUUUUCAUGCAUUAGUAUUUGCUCAGAUUUUUUGAGGUUAUGAUUUUCAUGCAUUAUUAUUUGCUCAGUAUGCUCUGACAUUUCAUCAUGAACGCUUGCAAAUCAGUGAAUGGGCCCUAGAAAAGUUGGCAGAAAAUCCGCUUUUUUAUCGACAAAUUUUGUUCAGCGAUGAGGCUCAUUUCUGGUUGAAUGGCUACGUAAAUAAGCAAAAUUGCCGCAUUUGGAGUGAAGAGCAACCAGAAGCCGUUCAAGAACUGCCCAUGCAUCCCGAAAAAUGCACUGUUUGGUGUGGUUUGUACGCUGGUGGAAUCAUUGGACCGUAUUUUUUCAAAGAUGCUGUUGGACGCAACGUUACAGUGAAUGGCGAUCGCUAUCGUUCGAUGCUAACAAACUUUUUGUUGCCAAAAAUGGAAGAACUGAACUUGGUAGACAUGUGGUUUCAACAAGAUGGCGCUACAUGCCACACAGCUCGCGAUUCUAUGGCCAUUUUGAGGGAAAACUUCGGAGAACAAUUCAUCUCAAGAAAUGGACCGGUAAGUUGGCCACCAAGAUCAUGCGAUUUGACGCCUUUAGACUAUUUUUUGUGGGGCUACGUCAAGUCUAAAGUCUACAGAAAUAAGCCAGUAACUAUUCCAGCUUUGGAAGACAACAUUUCCGAAGAAAUUCGGGCUAUUCCGGCCGAAAUGCUCGAAAAAGUUGCCCAAAAUUGGACUUUCCGAAUGGACCACCUAAGACGCAGCCGCGGUCAACAUUUAAAUGAAAUUAUCUUCAAAAAGUAAAUGUCAUGUACCAAUCUAACGUUUAAAAUAAAGAA